This 253-nucleotide ribosomal RNA is filed under the name uncultured bacterium. Its description in RNAcentral is "partial 16S ribosomal RNA". It matches the Rfam family "Bacterial small subunit ribosomal RNA", at positions 524 to 776 of the family's 1533-position model. The record is from RNAcentral.
UACGUAGGGUGCGAGCGUUAAUCGGAAUUACUGGGCGUAAAGCGUGCGCAGGCGGUCUGUUAAGACCGAUGUGAAAUCCCCGGGCUUAACCUGGGAACUGCAUUGGUGACUGGCAGGCUUUGAGUGUGGCAGAGGGAGGUAGAAUUCCACGUGUAGCAGUGAAAUGCGUAGAUAUGGGAGGAACACCGAUGGCGAAGGCAGCCCCCUGGAUCAAAACUGACGCUCAUGCACGAAAGCGUGGGGAGCAAACAGG